AGACCCGAAACCCGGUGAUCUAGCCAUGGGCAGGUUGAAGGUUGGGUAACACUAACUGGAGGACCGAACCGACUAAUGUUGAAAAAUUAGCGGAUGACCUGUGGCUGGGGGUGAAAGGCCAAUCAAACCGGGAGAUAGCUGGUUCUCCCCGAAAGCUAUUUAGGUAGCGCCUCGUGAAUUCAUCUCCGGGGGUAGAGCACUGUUUCGGCUAGGGGGCCAUCCCGGCUUACCAACCCGAUGCAAACUGCGAAUACCGGAGAAUGUUAUCACGGGAGACACACGGCGGGUGCUAACGUCCGUCGUGAAGAGGGAAACAACCCAGACCGCCAGCUAAGGUCCCAAAGUCAUGGUUAAGUGGGAAACGAUGUGGGAAGGCCCAGACAGCCAGGAUGUUGGCUUAGAAGCAGCCAUCAUUUAAAGAAAGCGUAAUAGCUCACUGGUCGAGUCGGCCUGCGCGGAAGAUGUAACGGGGCUAAACCAUGCACCGAAGCUGCGGCAGCGACGCUGAUGCGUUGUUGGGUAGGGGAGCGUUCUGUAAGCCUGCGAAGGUGGCCUGUGAGGGUUGCUGGAGG
RNAcentral lists this ribosomal RNA (572 nucleotides) under Salmonella enterica. Its description in RNAcentral is "partial 23S ribosomal RNA". It matches the Rfam family "Bacterial large subunit ribosomal RNA", at positions 711 to 1279 of the family's 2925-position model. Lineage: Bacteria; Pseudomonadati; Pseudomonadota; Gammaproteobacteria; Enterobacterales; Enterobacteriaceae. RNAcentral also lists the same sequence under 1 other name. The record is from RNAcentral.